AUUGAACGCUGGCGGCAUGCCUAACACAUGCAAGUCGAGCGCGCGGCGGACGGGUGAGUAAUGUCUGGGGAUCUGCCUGAUGGAGGGGAAUAACUACUGGAAACGGUAGCUAAUACCGCAUACCAUCAGAUGACCCCAGAUGGGAUUAGCUCGUAGGUGAGGUAACGGCUCACCUAGGCGACGAUCCCUAGCUGGUCUGAGAGGAUGAUCAGCCACACUGGGACUGAGAAACGGCCCAGACUCCUACGGGAGGCAGAAGUGGGGAAUAUUGCACAAUGGGCGCAAGCCUGAUGCAGCCAUGCCGCGUGUAUGAAGAAGGCCUUCGGGUUGUAAAGUACUUUCAGUCGGGAGGCGUUACCGACAGAAGAAGCACCGGCUAACUCCGUGCCAGCAGCCGCGGUAAUAC
Molecule: ribosomal RNA, 406 nt
Filed under: uncultured bacterium
Lineage: Bacteria
Description: partial 16S ribosomal RNA
Rfam family: Bacterial small subunit ribosomal RNA
Source: RNAcentral